UUGAUUGGUUACUUGUAGACGCCAUCUUGACUACCGGUCGUUGAUUGGUUACUUGUAGACGCCAUCUUGACUACCGGUCGUUGAUUGGUUACUUGUAGACGCCAUCUUGACUACCGGUCGUUGAUUGGUUACUUGUAGACGACUUCCUGCCUUUGCCAACCACCAGAGAAGUUUCCAGAACCGCUAGUAUUAAAACAUGUUUAUUUGGAUUAAAAAGCCUGUAUGGAACAUCCAGUUAUACAGUAUGUAACGACACAAAGCAGGUAAACGCAGAGAGAAAGAAAACCAACCUCCACUUAAGUCACAUUUGACUUGACACCCCCAUUAGAAAGUGACCACUAGGUUACCUUAUGAAAUUCAGGAUCAGGUAAAGUACCAGGUUAAAAACAAAAGAAAUACAACAUCACUGGGAUGGUUUAACAGACCUUCAGAAAAUGGCAAUUGAACUGCACCCCCAUUGGGUACACUCAAGGCACGGCACCACCCGUCACAUACCCGAAUGUGGAUGACCAUUCUAGUAAUUCUAUUUCUACGGUUGAAAAGCACUGUGCUGUAAGGCUGGCUUGCUGCUGACAUUCUGAUACUGGGAUAGAUUCAACAGGAUUCAGCAAACGGUUUCACAUGUAGAAUUACAACGGCUGCCAUUUUGGCACCAAAGUAAAGUACUGAGAUGUAAUAUGGAGGGUAGUUUGGUGUCUAUGGAGGGUAGUUUGGUGUCUAUGGAGGGUAGUUUGGUGUCAAUAUGGAGGGUAGUUUGGUGUCAAUAUGGAGGGUAGUUUGGUGUCAAUAUGGAGGGUAGUUUGGUGUCCUAUGGAGGGUAGUUUGGUGUCCUAUGGAGGGUAGUUUGGUGUCUAUGGAGGGAUAGUUUGGUGUCUAUGGAGGAUAGUUUGUGUCAAUAUGGAGGGUAGUUUGGUGUCUAUGGAGGGUAGUUUGGUGUCUAUGGAGGGUAGUUUGGUGUCAAUAUGGAGGGUAGUUUGGUGUCUAUGGAGGGUAGUUUGGUGUCUAUGGAUGGUAGUUUGGUGUCAAUGGAGGAUAGUUUGGUGUCAAUGGAGGGGUAGUUUGGUGUCUAUGGAGGAUAGUUUGGUGUCAAUAUGGAGGGUAGUUUGGUGUCAAUAUGGAGGGUAGUUUGGUGUCAAUAUGGAGGAUAGUUUGGUGUCAAUAUGGAGGGUAGUUUGGUGUCAAUAUGGAGGGUAGUUUGGUGUCUAUGGAGGGUAGUUUGGUGUCUAUGGAGGGCAGUUUGGUGUCACUAUGGAGGACAGUGUGGUGUCAUUAUGGAGGGCAGUGUGGUGUCAAUAUGGAGGACAAUUUGGUGUCAAUGUGGAGGGUAGUUUGUCACUGUGGAUGGUAGUUUGGUGUCUGGAGGACAGUGUGGUGUCAAUAUGGAGGACAAUUUGGUGUCAAUGUGGAGGGUAGUUUGGUGUCAAUAUGGAUGGUAGUUUGGUGUCAAUAUGGAUGGUCGUUUGGUGUCAAUAUAGAGGGUAGUUUGUCACUGGAUGGUAGUUUGGUGUCUGGAAGGUAGUGUGGUGUCAAUGUGGAGAGUAGUGUGGUGUCAAUGUGGAGAGUAGUGUGGUGUCAAUGUGGAGGGUAGUGUGGUGUCAAUGUGGAGGGUAGUGUGGUGUCAAUGCGGAGGGUAGUGUGGUGUCAAUGCGGAGGGUAGUGUGGUGUCAAUGCGGAGGGUAGUGUGGUGUCAAUGCGGAGGGUAGUUUGGUGUCAAUACGGAGGGUAGUGUGGUGUCAAUGCGGAGGGUAGUUUGGUGUCAAUGCGGAGGGUAGUUUGGUGUCAAUACGGAGGGUAGUGUGGUGUCAAUACGGAGGGUAGUGUGGUGUCAAUGCGGAGGGUAGUGUGGUGUCAAUACGGAGGGUAGUUUGGUGUCAAUGCGGAGGGUAGUGUGGUGUCAAUGUGGAGGGUAGUGUGGUGUCAAUGUGGAGGGUAGUGUGGUGUCAAUGUGGAGGGUAGUUUGGUGUCAAUGUGGAGGGUAGUUUGGUGUCAUUGUGGAGGACAGUGUGGUGUCAAUAUGGAGGGUAGUUUGGUGUCAAUGUGGAGGGUAGUUUGCCAAACUGUUUUCGAUCUAUUCCUUAUCAUACUGAGAUGUAAACAGAAUGCUCAUCAACCACAUCAGUACUACAACACAUACUCAUUCAUUCGCUUAACAAACACUUUCUCAGUCCCUGUACCUCACACACCCACACAGACCUGCUAUAUACACAGUGGACAAAACAUUAGGAACACCUUCCUAACAUUCAAUUGCACCCCCCUCUUGCCCUCAGAAUGGCCUCAAUUCGUCAGGUUAUGGACUCUACGGAAAGCGUUCCACAGUGAUGCUGGCCCAUGUUGACUCCAAUGCUUCCCACAGUUGUGUGAAGUUGGUUGGACCUCCUUUGCUUGGUGGACCAUUCUUAAUACAAACAGGAAACGGUUGAGCGUGAAAAAGCAGCGUUGGAAGUUCUUGACACAAACCGGUGCGCCUGGCACCUACUACCAUACUGUUCAAAGGCAAUUCAAUAUUUAGUCUUGUCCGUUCACCUUCUGAAUGGCACUGAUACACCAAGGCUCAAGAAUCCUUCUCUAAUCUGAAUCCUUCUUUAAUCUGAAUCCUUCUUUAAUCUGUAUCCUUCUCUUCAUCUACACUUGACUAAAGUGGAUUUCGAAUCGAUAAAAACAUCAUAGGUUUUACCUGGAUUCAGCAAUGCUUUUUAUACUCGGUGUAUAUUCACUCCACAUGCUGUUCUGUUACAGAUGGAAUUUAAAAUGGAUUCAAUUGAGAUUUUGUCACUGGACUACACACAAUACCCCAUAAUGUCAAAGUGGAAAUAUGUUGUUUUUUUUAGAAAUGUUUACAAAUGAAUAAAAAAUGAAAAGCUGAAAUGUCUUGAGUCAAUAAGUUUUCAACCCCUUUGUUAUGGGAAGUCUAAAUAAGUUCAGGAGUAAACGUGUGCUUAACAAGUCACAUAAUAAGUUGCAUGGACUCACUCUGUGUUCAAUAAUAGUGUUUAACGUGAUUUUUGAAUGACUACCUCAUCUCUGUACCCCACAUACACAAUUAUCUGUAAGGUCUCUCAGUUGAGCAGUGAAUUUCAAACACAGAUUCAACCACAAAGACCAGGGAGGUUUUCCACAGCCUCGCAAAGAAGGGCCAGAGGGAAAAGAAGGACGCAUGUACAGAAUACAAAUAUUCCAAACCAAGGCACUUAAGUAAAACGGCAAAAAAUGUGUCAAAGACAUGAACUUUUUGUCCUGAAUACAAAGCAUUAUGUUUGGGGAAAUACAACACAUUACAGAGUACCACUCUUCAUAUUUUGAAGCAUGGUGGUGGCUGCAUCAUGUUAUGGGUAUGCUUGAAAUCCUUUAGGACUAGGUAGUUUUUCAGGAUAAAAAAGAAAUGGAAUUGAGCUAAACACAGGCAAAAUCCUAGAGGAAAACCUGGUUCAGUCUGCUUUCCAACAGACACUGGGAGAUGAAAUCACCUUUCAGCAGGACAAUAACCUAAAACAUAAGGCCAUUUACACACUGGAGUUGCUUACCAAGACGUCAUGGAAUGUUCCUGAAUGGCCUAGUUACAGUUUUGAUUGAAUCCUGUUCUUGAUAUAGAUUUUCAAAUAAAUUUGUCUAGCAAUGAUCAACAACCAAUUUGACUGAGCUUAAAGAAUUUUGAAAAUUAUAAAUGGGCAAAUGUUACACAAUCCACAUGUGGAAAGCUCUUAGAGAUUUACCCAGAAAGACUCAUAGCUCUUAGAGAUUUACCCAGAAAGACUCACUGUCAGUGGUGCUUCUACAAAGUAUUGACUCAGGGGUGUAAAUACUUAUGUAAAUUAGAUAUUUCUGCAUUUCAUUUUCAAUAAAUUUGCAAACAUUUCUAAGAACAUGUUUUCACUUCGUCAUUAUGGGCUAUUGUAUGUAGAUCUGUGAGAAAAAGAAACUAUUUAAUCAAUUUUGAAUUCAGGCUGUAAAACAAAAUAUGGAAUAAGUCAAGGGGUAUGAAUAUUUUCUGAAGGCACAUAUUCAAAGAUACACUACAUUAUUCAAAGUAUG
Long non-coding RNA from Oncorhynchus tshawytscha (Chinook salmon), 4029 nucleotides. The record is from Ensembl. Lineage: Eukaryota; Metazoa; Chordata; Actinopteri; Salmoniformes; Salmonidae.